Molecule: ribosomal RNA, 253 nt
Filed under: uncultured bacterium
Lineage: Bacteria
Description: partial 16S ribosomal RNA
Rfam family: Bacterial small subunit ribosomal RNA
Source: RNAcentral
GACAGAGGAUGCAAGCGUUAUCCGGAAUGAUUGGGCGUAAAGGGUCCGCAGGUGGCAGUGUAAGUCUGCUGUCAAAGAAUGAGGCUUAACCUUAUCAAGGCAGUGGAAACUACACAGCUAGAGUACGGUCGGGGUAGAAGGAAUUCCUGGUGUAGCGGUGAAAUGCGUAGAGAUCAGGAAGAACACCGGUGGCGAAAGCGUUCUGCUAGACCUGUACUGACACUGAGGGACGAAAGCUAGGGGAGCGAAUGGG